Molecule: long non-coding RNA, 636 nt
Filed under: Medicago truncatula (barrel medic)
Lineage: Eukaryota; Viridiplantae; Streptophyta; Magnoliopsida; Fabales; Fabaceae
Description: lncRNA gene32529
Source: RNAcentral
UUGAGUGAAAUCUCCCAAAAAAAUAUUUAAGAUUCAAUUUGAUUGUUGUAAGGAAUCCUUUUAGAACUUAGAUGUCUUUAUAAUUGUUUUUAUAUACUCAGUCUUAAGUUGAGUUUGAGUUUGUUGGAAGACAAAUAAAUGUUAUAUAUUCUCAUGUCGAGUUUGUUGGGAUACAAACAAAUGAGGUUGUAUAUGUUUUUGUUAGAGUGAUCACAUUGUCUAUCUUUCGAUUAUUGACUAAUAUUCUAACAUGUCAUAAUCAUCUUUUUAAUAAAUCUUAUGAAUGAAACAUUGUAAUUUUUUUAUAAAAAAAAAAAAGUUAUUGGAAGGAAGAAUCAUGCGAUAAGAGAGGUAGAAAGCAAAAUUUUAUUCAUAAUGUAAAAAUUCAUUAGAAAGCUUAUUAAUUGAUAAAAAAAAAAAAAGAUGAAGUGUGUACACAUUAGUCCUGUUCAUAGAACUCAAUUAUAUACCUAGUGCAGCUUUCAGGAUUCGAAUCCCCGUCCUGUAUAUAUUAUGCAAUGUGCUUAGCAGUUGAGUUAGUUCACAGGUUCUUCCAAAAUAUUAACUUAAAUUUCUUAUUUUGGUUUGUAACAUUAAAUUAAUUUUAACAUAUUAAUUUUAUUUCGCAUCUAUUUC